Peromyscus eremicus (cactus mouse) is the source of this 893-nucleotide long non-coding RNA. RefSeq lists it as uncharacterized. The record is from RefSeq and is a predicted model, not a curated record. Lineage: Eukaryota; Metazoa; Chordata; Mammalia; Rodentia; Cricetidae. The transcript is spliced from 4 exons.
GGUCAGGACCUUGUUAAUGUAAUCACUGUCUGCUUUCCUGUAAGGAUCCCCGCCCAGGCACCAGCAGAGAACCUGUCUGUGUCCUCCAUGGCUUUUGCGGGGAACUCAGAGGUGGUGGGAGGCCCAGGUCAGGGAGGAAGAGUGAGCUACAUCAGCACAGGAAAUGGAGUGAAGCAGUGUGCAGCUGCUGCCAGCCAGGCUGAGGCUUGAGGACUCACAUCUGGACAGAGAAGACAUUUUCCUCUCAGUGCGUCGGUACGCUUCAGCCACUGUAGGGGCGGGCAUGCUGUUGUCACGGCAGUCAGAUCCUGGACACGGCAGCUGACCUGCCUUACUUGGAUGUUAGCAGAAGCUUCUUCAAGGAUGACCAAAUGUUAGCCUUGCCUUGUGCCAAGCUCAGUGCAGAUAGAAGCCAGUACGCUGAAAGCUGAAAGAGAAACAAUCGAGAAGCAGUCCCCGUUCCGGGAAGAAGCAGCCAUCAUCACACAGAGGGUGUUCUCGCACAAGAAGAAAACCUUUUCCUUUAUGAGGAUGAAUUUUUACUGAAAAUCCUUCCUCUGCCUACAUGCAUGAGAAACAUUGGGCUGAUUGGACAUGCCACCUUAUUCAAUGACUGCCUGAUGGACAUGGUAAAGAAUAAUCUUAGAGAUUUCUGUAUAUUCUCCUGGAAACUACAACUAGACCCAUUAGAGAGAUCUGUGGAGCUCUACAAUGGGACCCUUGCUCCAGGAGCGAUCUCUACUCUGGUGUUAAGAUAAACCAAAUCCCGGUGAUGGAGACCCUUUUGUGCUAACUCAUGUAUGCUUCCACUGACCCAAACUGUGGGCAACCAGCUGCCUCUUAGGCCCACACUUCCGUAAAUCUCUCAGCAAAUUAUAUCUUGUACAACCCUA